Long non-coding RNA from Chrysemys picta bellii (western painted turtle), 3324 nucleotides. RefSeq lists it as uncharacterized. NCBI's taxonomy places the organism in Eukaryota, Metazoa, Chordata, Testudines, Emydidae. The record is from RefSeq and is a predicted model, not a curated record.
CUCGCCCCGCCCUCUCCCAGUAUCUGCGGGCGGUGCCCGCCGGUGGCACGCGGCAGUUCCUGAGCUUCGCGCCCCGAUGCUGGUGACGGGUGUGUCCAGUUGAAGCGCCCGGGAUUAAGCUCACUAGGAUCGGGCCUGCUCAGACCCCUCCCCCCUCCAGCUGAGUGGGGCGAAUCGCCGCGGGAGUGGUUGCGCCCUGGGGGUGUCUCUAGCUUUCUUGGGUCAGCAGAGCAAGGAAGAACCCAGGCCUGGAAUGAGUCAGAGAAGUAAAGAAGACAAACUAUAAGAAGAGAGCUGCCACUCCUGUCCAGAAUUUGCCAAGAGAUCACUCUGUGUCAUUCUUUCAGCAUGGAUUACAGUGUUGUGAUGCACUUCAGAAAAUCUACUGACAUUGCUGCAUUGUGUGGAACAUCUGCCCUUUUCUUUCAAAUAUAGAUCUCACUGACAAAGGCACAAUUAUUGUAAACUUCUUCCUGUAAUGACUGGGAUCCCUUUGGAAUUGAUCCAGGGACUGUUGUAUGUAGAAUAUGGCUGUCUAGGUAUUCUUUUGUGUGUAAGGUGAAGGGGAAAAAAUAACACCCAUUCUCCACGGGCUGUCCUGGUUGCAGAAAAAAUUGUGGAUUCAAUUCAACAUCUCAUUGAAGUAAUCCUUUAUCUGGGCCCAAGGUGUAUGGCUGUGCCUAUUCCUAUUGCCCUCCAAGCCUGCUGUUCUUAACUUUAAGGGCUUUCACAACUGUGCCCCUCCUUACUUGUCUGCUCUUAUAUCUUGUCCUUUCCCUGCUUCACCAGUGAUGACAGAUUUGACCCCUUGUUUGUCUCCAUCUCAAACAAAUAAUUUUAUACUUUAACCUCUAUCCCUUAUGCAUGCAACAGUCUCACAGAACUAGUCUGUAAAGCCCCAGCCCUCUCCCCAUUUAAAUCCCUCCCCAAGACUUACUUCUACCAUGAUGGCUACCAGAAAUUGCCAGAUGAUAAUGACUAGGUAGAUGCCAGUGGGGAUUGCUGAUAUUUAUUUAUAAAACAUUUUAAAACACAUGUAUAUGAUUUGGAACAUCAAGUUAAGCACAUAAUAAGAACCUGUGUUUUCCACAGGCUAGUUAAUAUGCUCAUCCUCCCUCCGCCUAUGUUUCUUACAUGUGUGUCUUGUCAAAUUAAAUUGUAAGCUCUCCAGGGAAAGGGCUGUACACACAUUUGCACACAUAAUACCAGGCAUGUGUCCUUGUACAGGAUCCUGAGCCUGGUGGUUAGAAUAUUCACCAAGGAUGUGGGAGACCCAGUUCCCAUGUUCCAGUGAUGAUGUAAUUAUUUAUUUACAGUGCAGCAAUUUCAAUAGGAGAGACUGAGGGAGCACUGCAUCAGAAUAGCCCAUAGCCCAGUGAUUAGAGUACACACCUGAGAGGUGGCAGAUCCCUCUUCAAAUCCCUUUUCCUGCUCAGGCACAGGGGGGACUUGAAUGCAGGGUCUCCCACAUCUCAGGUGAGUACCCUAACUGCUGGGCUAAAAGCCCUUCACACACCCAGUUGGCAUCUUCCAUUGGCUAGCUUAGACAGAUCCCUGCCUAGCAUGAUUUUGUGAAUCGUUCCAAAGUGCCAGUCUUUCCCCAUGCAUUGUAUAGGGAGCCUAAGCGCUUAACUUAGGGUUUGUGAAUUCCAGUGAUUUUCUAGACAUCUAAAAGUUAGGUGCUGUGACACUCAGCGCUGCAAUGCCUAACUCCUUUUGUGCAUCCUGGCCUCUGCAACUGUCUUCAAGACUUGUUAGGAUCUGUUCGCCUUUGAUGGCUUGGCCUCCUUUUUUGCAUUUCUUUUUUGGCUUGGCUUUUGUUUUUGAUGACAGAUUGGCUUGUUCUUUCUGGGCCACUGGAGGCAGUUCUCUGUUUUGUCAUCAUUAUCCUAUCCUGUGUAAGAGGGCCAGUGGUAUGAUAAGCACCAUACAAAUAAAACCAAACCUCUGAUUUUUAUGAUAGUCAAGUUGUACUAGUUAAUGGUGUUAAAUGAGGACAUUGCAAUUACAUGCAGUGGAUAUAUAGUAUUCCCUUCUAUAGACGAUUUAAGCUUUUAUUAGUUCAAAACUCUAAUGAGGCCUACAGAAUAAAACAACCCAAAGCAGUAUGUUGAUGUCAGACACAGCAGGAGGAUUGAAAAGAAUACCUAGUAGCAGGGCCGGCUCCAGCAUUUCUGCCGCCCCAAGCAGAAAAGAAAAAAGCCGUGAUCGGCGGUGGCAAUUGAAAAAAAAGCCGCGAUCGGUGGCGGCAGUUCAGCGGCAGGUCCUUCGCUCCUAGAGGGCCCCCGAAUUGCCGCAGGUGCCGCCCCUCUCCCUUGGCCGCCCCAAACACCUGCUUGUUAAGCUGGUGCCUGGAGCCGGCCCUGCUAGUAGCAAGGACUUGGUUUGUAUAAGACACUUUAAUGUUGAACGUAAACUUCUAAAUGUCCCAGUGGAGUCCGGGAUUCUCAUUUAAACAAGCCAGAUGAUUUCAGAAUAAUAUAGCAGAACUUUGUGUUGUGUAAUAUAUAACAUUAGCAGCAUAUGGAAAUAUAAAUUCGUACAUCAAGAUUAAAAUCAAUCUGCAUGUACACAGAUUUCAUUUCUAAUCAAAGUUACAGUAGAUUUUUAUAAUCAGCCUUGCACUUAUGACAAACUUCAAUGUAUCAUAUUGUCACUUGAUUAAUAUGAGCAUAUCCUGUCUUCAGUAAAAAAUAUAUAUGAAGCCUAAUAUCCUUCCAAGCAGACUGGUGGUCUAAGUAGCAUUAUAUUCUACCAGACAGUGACAAGUCAACUUCAGAAAUUGUUCUUGCACUCUUAACCUGGGAAAGCAGGGGCUGGACAUUCAAACCCUGUGGAGGCGGAGACAAACACUUGUCACUUUAUAGUGACUCAUCUGGAUGUUUAGGCAGCAAUACUGAUUAGAUCCAAAGCCUGGUAUCCAGAUCUCUUUUAUCAGCUAGCGAGUCAUUAUGACAUGAGAUUGCAGAGAAGGUGGAACAGGAAAAAAGAAGUGUUUUUUUUUAAUUCUGUUUUUAUUGUAAAUUAUUAGGAUAAUAAUUUCACCACCAGUGAAAACAUUUGUGUGAGAUACUCAUACUUCAAAUGAAGUUACUGUAGUGUAGUACAUGCUUUGUGGCUGAUGUAAAGUCUAACUGCAUUGUUUGUCAUAGUUGUGUGCGUAACAAGCUAUUUGAAAAUUUCCUGCUAAUACUGUUAUAUAAGUCAACUCAUCUCUAAUUUAAAUAAGGAAGUGAACUUGGAUACUUAAUGUUUUCACAGAAGAAUAGGGUUAAAAUGUACGUGAUUCCCACUGAAUUAAAUGUAUUUUAUGAAAACGAAAAA